UAGCUGGUCUGAGAGGACGACCAGCCACACUGGAACUGAGACACGGUCCAGACUCCUACGGGAGGCAGCAGUGGGGAAUUUUGGACAAUGGGCGAAAGCCUGAUCCAGCAAUGCCGCGUGAGUGAAGAAGGCCUUCGGGUUGUAAAGCUCUUUUGUCAGGGAAGAAACGGUAUGGGCUAAUAUCCCGUACUAAUGACGGUACCUGAAGAAUAAGCACCGGCUAACUACGUGCCAGCAGCCGCGGUAAUACGUAGGGUGCAAGCGUUAAUCGGAAUUACUGGGCGUAAAGCGUGCGCAGGCGGUUUUGUAAGNNGAAUCUGGCAGAGGGGGGUAGAAUUCCACGUGUAGCAGUGAAAUGCGUAGAGAUGUGGAGGAACACCGAUGGCGAAGGCAGCCCCCUGGGUCAAGAUUGACGCUCAUGCACGAAAGCGUGGGGAGCAAACAGGAUUAGAUACCCUGGUAGUCCACGCCCUAAACGAUGUCUACUAGUUGUCGGGUUUUAAUUAACUUGGUAACGCAGCUAACGCGUGAAGUAGACCGCCUGGGGAGUACGGUCGCAAGAUUAAAACUCAAAGGAAUUGACGGGGACCCGCACAAGCGGUGGAUGAUGUGGAUUAAUUCGAUGCAACGCGAAAAACCUUACCUACCCUUGACAUGUACGGAAGCCACGAGAGAUCGAGGCGUGCUCGAAAGAGAGCCGUAACACAGGUGCUGCAUGGCUGUCGUCAGCUCGUGUCGUGAGAUGUUGGGUUAAGUCCCGCAACGAGCGCAACCCUUGUCAUUAGUUGCUACGAAAGAGCACUCUAAUGAGACUGCCGGUGACAAACCGGAGGAAGGUGGGGAUGACGUCAAGUCCUCAUGGCCCUUAUGGGUAGGGCUUCACACGUCAUACAAUGGUACAUACAGAGGGCCGCCAACCCGCGAGGGGGAGCUAAUCCCAGAAAGUGUAUCGUAGUCCGGAUUGUAGUCUGCAACUCGACUACAUGAAGUUGGAAUCGCUAGUAAUCGCGGAUCAGCAUGUCGCGGUGAAUACGUUCCCGGGUCUUGUACACACCGCCCGUCACACCAUGGGAGCGGGUUUUACCAGAAGUAGGUAGCUUAACCGCAAGGAGGGCGCUUACCACGGUAGGAUUCGUGACUGGGGUGAAGUCGUAACAAGGUAGCCGUAUCGGAAGGUGCGGCUG
RNAcentral lists this ribosomal RNA (1184 nucleotides) under groundwater metagenome. RNAcentral describes it as "bacterial SSU rRNA". It matches the Rfam family "Bacterial small subunit ribosomal RNA", at positions 284 to 1520 of the family's 1533-position model. The record is from RNAcentral.